This 253-nucleotide ribosomal RNA is filed under the name uncultured bacterium. RNAcentral's name for it is "partial 16S ribosomal RNA". It matches the Rfam family "Bacterial small subunit ribosomal RNA", at positions 524 to 776 of the family's 1533-position model. The record is from RNAcentral.
UACGUAGGCAGCAAGCGUUGUUCGGAGUUACUGGGCGUAAAGGGUGCGUAGGUGGCUCUAUAAGUAUGGUGUGAAAUCUCCCGGCUCAACUGGGGGGGUGCGCCGAAUACUGAGAGGCUAGAGUGUGGGAGAGGAAAGUGGAAUUCCUGGUGUAGCGGUGAAAUGCGUAGAUAUCAGGAGGAACACCGGUGGUGUAAACGGCUUUCUGGACCAUAACUGACGCUGAGGCACGAAAGCGUGGGUAGCAAACAGG